This is a long non-coding RNA of Numida meleagris (helmeted guineafowl), 427 nucleotides long. RefSeq lists it as uncharacterized. NCBI's taxonomy places the organism in Eukaryota, Metazoa, Chordata, Aves, Galliformes, Numididae. The record is from RefSeq and is a predicted model, not a curated record. The transcript is spliced from 3 exons.
GCAAGCCAAAGCCCAAUCAUAACAAGUGCCUUGGAUUGUAAUUACAGGGUGAUUUCCAGUGAUACCAACUACCUAUUUUUCCUCCUUGCAUUUUUGAAGGCCAAAGGUUGCUUCCCUAUUACAAUGCCUUUGUGUCUAUAUCAGGAAAAAAAAAAUCAACUUUUAAUAAACAGAUGUACUACUGAGAAGAAAAUUUGCUACAAAUAAAUGAAGCAGAGCACCUACAACUAUGUUUGAUGUAGGAGAGGAGGAGCAGGGGCUUGCCAGGCCCAGAGCAGAGUGUGAUGUUGGCCGGCAAGGCUGGGAAGCUGAAACCAGUUCAAAUUCCUCCCACAGCUCUCCUCCUCUGAAUGAAGUUAUAUUUCAAGAAGCAUGCGAAGUAACAGAGACGUAUUUACAUUCUGAUUUACACAGGAAUUAAUCAUAG